RNAcentral lists this unclassified non-coding RNA (249 nucleotides) under rhizosphere metagenome. RNAcentral describes it as "partial ribosomal RNA internal transcribed spacer region". The record is from RNAcentral.
AAUCCUUCACCCUGGAUUAAGUUCCGGGUGGACCAGCCUUAGGGGCUCUAAACCUACGUAAUGCCGCAUCGUCUCUUUGGAGGCGUUGCGGUACUCGUUACUUCAAACCAUUGUGAACCCUCCCGUUGCUUCGGCGGCAUGCCUCAUGCAGUCAGCCCGUCCGAGGCCCAACAUAAACCAUUCAGUAAACUUCUGUCAGUAUACGAAAAGUAAAUCGUUAAAACUUUCAACAACGGAUCUCUUGGUUCU